This 93-nucleotide microRNA precursor is filed under the name Lotus japonicus. RNAcentral's name for it is "miR11077d stem-loop (lja-MIR11077d)". Lineage: Eukaryota; Viridiplantae; Streptophyta; Magnoliopsida; Fabales; Fabaceae. The record is from miRBase by way of RNAcentral.
GAAAGGGAAAGAAAACACGGAAAUCGAGGAGUGAACUUGGAUUAAACCUUAGUCUAAAUUCACUCCUCAAUUUCCGUGUUUUCCUUCCUUUUC